Molecule: ribosomal RNA, 99 nt
Filed under: uncultured bacterium
Lineage: Bacteria
Description: partial 16S ribosomal RNA
Rfam family: Bacterial small subunit ribosomal RNA
Source: RNAcentral
UACACACCGCCCGUCACACCAUGGGAGUGGGUUGCUCCAGAAGGCGUUAGUCUAACCGCAAGGAGGACGACGCCUACGGAGUGGUUCAUGACUGGGGUG